CCUACGGGUGGCAGCAGUGAGGAAUAUUGGUCAAUGGCCGAGAGGCUGAACCAGCCAAGUCGCGUGAGGGAAGACGGCCCUACGGGUUGUAAACCUCUUUUGUCGGGGAGCAAAGCGAGUCACGUGUGACUCAUUGCGAGUACCCGACGAAAAAGCAUAGGCUAACUCCGUGCCCGCAGCCGCGGUAAUACGGAGGAUGAGAGCGUUAUCCGGCUUUAUUGGGUUUAUAGGGUGCGCAGGCGGAGGUGCAAGUCAGCGGUCAAAUUGCGGGGCUCAACCCCGUACUGCCGUUGAAACUGCAUCCUGUGAGUGCGCGAGAAGUAUGCGGAAUGCGUGGUGUAGCGGUGAAAUGCAUAGAUAUCACGCAGAACUCCGAUUGCGAAGGCAGCAUACCGGCGCGCAACUGACGCUCAUGCACGAAAGCGUGGGUAUCGAACAGGAUUAGAUACCCGGGUAGUC
Molecule: ribosomal RNA, 459 nt
Filed under: uncultured bacterium
Lineage: Bacteria
Description: partial 16S ribosomal RNA
Rfam family: Bacterial small subunit ribosomal RNA
Source: RNAcentral